RNAcentral lists this ribosomal RNA (507 nucleotides) under uncultured bacterium. RNAcentral's name for it is "bacterial SSU rRNA". It matches the Rfam family "Bacterial small subunit ribosomal RNA", at positions 28 to 529 of the family's 1533-position model. The record is from RNAcentral.
GAUAAACGCUGGCGGCAUGCCUAAUACAUGCAAGUCGAACGAACUAGUUUACUAGUUAGUGGCGAACGGGUGAGUAACACGUAAGUAAUCAACCUAUAAGACGAGGAUAACUACUGGAAACGGUAGCUAAUACUGGAUAGGAUAGGGACCUGUAGGGGACCCUAUUUAAAGGCGCUUCAAAGCGCCGCUAAUAGCUGAGCUUGCGGCGCAUUAGAUAGUUGGGGAGGUAAUGGCUCACCAAGUCAACGAUGCGUAGCUGGGCUGAGAGGCCGAACAGCCACACUGGGACUGAGACACGGCCCAGACUCCUACGGGAGGCAGCAGUAGGGAAUUUUCGGCAAUGGACGAAAGUCUGACCGAGCAAUGCCGCGUGAAUGAAGACGGUCUUCGGAUUGUAAAGUUCUGUUAAUGGGAAAGAACACUUAGUAUAGGAAAUGAUACUAAGAUGACGGUACCCAUUUAGAAAGCCCCGGCUAACUACGUAGCCAGCAGCCGCGGUAAUGUCAG